CGUGUAGGCGGCCAAAUAGGUCAGCUGUGAAAACUCGAGGCUCAACCUCGAGAUGUCGGCUGAAACCAUCUGGCUAGAGUCCGGAAGAGGAGAAUGGAAUUCCCGGUGUAGCGGUGAAAUGCGCAGAUAUCGGGAAGAACACCCGUCGCGAAGGCGGUUCUCUGGGACAGUACUGACGCUGAGAGCGAAAGCGUGGGGAGCGAACA
Molecule: ribosomal RNA, 206 nt
Filed under: uncultured bacterium
Lineage: Bacteria
Description: partial 16S ribosomal RNA
Rfam family: Bacterial small subunit ribosomal RNA
Source: RNAcentral